RNAcentral lists this ribosomal RNA (776 nucleotides) under Alteromonas confluentis. RNAcentral describes it as "bacterial SSU rRNA". It matches the Rfam family "Bacterial small subunit ribosomal RNA", at positions 90 to 868 of the family's 1533-position model. The record is from RNAcentral. Lineage: Bacteria; Pseudomonadati; Pseudomonadota; Gammaproteobacteria; Alteromonadales; Alteromonadaceae.
GACGAGUGGCGGACGGGUGAGUAAUGCUUGGGAACUUGCCUUUGCGAGGGGGAUAACAGUUGGAAACGACUGCUAAUACCGCAUAAUGUCUACGGACCAAACGGGGCUUAGGCUCCGGCGCAAAGAGAGGCCCAAGUGAGAUUAGCUAGAUGGUGAGGUAAAGGCUCACCAUGGCGACGAUCUCUAGCUGUUCUGAGAGGAAGAUCAGCCACACUGGGACUGAGACACGGCCCAGACUCCUACGGGAGGCAGCAGUGGGGAAUAUUGCACAAUGGGGGAAACCCUGAUGCAGCCAUGCCGCGUGUGUGAAGAAGGCCUUCGGGUUGUAAAGCACUUUCAGUUGUGAGGAAAAGUUGGUAGUUAAUACCUGCCAGCCGUGACGUUAACAACAGAAGAAGCACCGGCUAACUCCGUGCCAGCAGCCGCGGUAAUACGGAGGGUGCGAGCGUUAAUCGGAAUUACUGGGCGUAAAGCGCACGCAGGCGGUUUGUUAAGCUAGAUGUGAAAGCCCCGGGCUCAACCUGGGACGGUCAUUUAGAACUGGCAGACUAGAGUCUUGGAGAGGGGAGUGGAAUUCCAGGUGUAGCGGUGAAAUGCGUAGAUAUCUGGAGGAACAUCAGUGGCGAAGGCGACUCCCUGGCCAAAGACUGACGCUCAUGUGCGAAAGUGUGGGUAGCGAACAGGAUUAGAUACCCUGGUAGUCCACACCGUAAACGCUGUCUACUAGCUGUGUGUGAAUUUAAUUCGUGCGUAGCGAAGCUAACGCGCUAAGUAGA